GACGAACGCUGGCGGCGUGCUUAACACAUGCAAGUCGAACGGAAAGGCGCUGCUUUUGUGGGGUGCUCGAGUGGCGAACGGGUGAGUAACACGUGAGUAACAUGCCCUUGACUUUGGGAUAACUUCAGGAAACUGGGGCGAAUACCGGAUAGGAGCUCCUGCUGCAUGGUGGGGGUUGGUAAGUGUCGGCGGUUGGGGAUGGACUGGCGGCUUAUCCGCUUGUUUGUGGGGUAGUGGCUGACCAAGGCUGUGACGGGUAGCCGGCAUGAGAGGGGGAACGGCGACAAGGCGCCUGCGAGACGGCCCAGAAGCCUACGGGAGGCAGUAGUGGGGAAUAUUGCACAAUGGGCGGAAGCCUGAUGCAGCAACGUCGCGUGCGGGAUGACGGCCUUCGGGUUGUAAACCGCUUUCGCCUGUGACGAAGCGUGAGUGACGGUAAUGGGUAAAGAAGCACCGGCUAACUACGUG
This 468-nucleotide ribosomal RNA is filed under the name uncultured bacterium. Its description in RNAcentral is "partial 16S ribosomal RNA". It matches the Rfam family "Bacterial small subunit ribosomal RNA", at positions 28 to 507 of the family's 1533-position model. The record is from RNAcentral.